RNAcentral lists this ribosomal RNA (509 nucleotides) under uncultured bacterium. RNAcentral's name for it is "bacterial SSU rRNA". It matches the Rfam family "Bacterial small subunit ribosomal RNA", at positions 8 to 526 of the family's 1533-position model. The record is from RNAcentral.
AGGGUUUGAUCAUGGCUCAGGACGAACGCUGGCGGUGCGCCUUAUGCAUGCAAGUUGAGCGAAGCUUUUUUGUAGUUUACUACGAAAAAUGACUGAGCGGCGAACGGGUGAGUAACGCGUGAGCAAUCUACCUUAGUUACUGGGAUAGCCCGAGGAAACUCGGAUUAAUACCGGAUAUUCUUAUUUUUUCACAUGAAGUUUUAAGGAAAGGUCAGCCGAACUAAGAUGAGCUCGCGUUCUAUCAGUUAGUUGGUGGGGUAAAAGCCUACCAAGGCUACGACGGAUAGCUGGUCUGAGAGGACGAUCAGCCACACUGGGACUGAGACACGGCCCAGACUCCUACGGGAGGCUGCAGCAGGGAAUAUUGUGCAAUGAGCGAAAGCUUGACACAGCGACACCGCGUGUGGGAUGACGGUUCUAGGAUUGUAAACCACUUUCAGGAGGGAAGAAAAUGACGGUACCUCCACAAGAAGACCCGGCCAACUAUGUGCCAGCCGCCGCGGUAAUUC